RNAcentral lists this ribosomal RNA (605 nucleotides) under Micronychus sp. UPOL MT0007. RNAcentral describes it as "partial 16S ribosomal RNA". The stretch from base 379 to 537 matches the Rfam family "Bacterial large subunit ribosomal RNA", at positions 2473 to 2632 of the family's 2925-position model. Lineage: Eukaryota; Metazoa; Arthropoda; Insecta; Coleoptera; Lycidae. The record is from RNAcentral.
CAUGUCCUUUNGAUUUUAAUUUAAGGUUUGGUCUGCUCAAUGAGGUUUUAAAUUGCCGCAGUAUUUUAACUGUGCGAAGGUAGCAUAAUAAUUAGUUUCUUAAUUGGAAGCUGGAAUGAAUGAUUGGACGAAAAAAUUACUGUCUCUUGGGAAGGGUUUAUUUAAUUUUAUUAUUAAGUUAAAAAGCUUAAAUUUAAAUAAAAGACGAGAAGACCCUAUAGAGUUUAAUAUUUACAACUUAUUAAUUUUUAGUAAAUUUAUUAAGUUUUAAUUAUUUAGUUGGGGUGACUUAAAGAUUAAAUUAAUUCUUUAAAUAUUUAAUUGUUGAUAAGUAAUUUGUAAAUCUAGUUUUUUAAAUUUAAAAUAAAUUACCUUAGGGAUAACAGCGUAAUUUUUCUUUAAAGCUCUUAUUGAAAGAAGAUUUUGCGACCUCGAUGUUGGAUUAAAAUUAAUUUUUGGUGCAGUCACUAAAAAAUUAAGUCUGUUCGACUUUUAAAAUUUUACAUGAUCUGAGUUUAAACCGGUGUAAGCCAGGUUGGAUUCUAUCUUUAUUAAUUUUAUAUGUUUUAGUACGAAAGGACCUGAUAUAUAUUAUAAAAUAAUUG